Molecule: ribosomal RNA, 2464 nt
Filed under: Vibrio coralliilyticus NA0301
Lineage: Bacteria; Pseudomonadati; Pseudomonadota; Gammaproteobacteria; Vibrionales; Vibrionaceae
Description: bacterial LSU rRNA
Rfam family: Bacterial large subunit ribosomal RNA
Source: RNAcentral
AGCGCAUUUUAGGUGAAAUCGAGUAGGGCGGGACACGUGAUAUCCUGUCUGAAUAUGGGGGGACCAUCCUCCAAGGCUAAAUACUACUGACUGACCGAUAGUGAACCAGUACCGUGAGGGAAAGGCGAAAAGAACCCCUGUGAGGGGAGUGAAAUAGAACCUGAAACCGUGUACGUACAAGCAGUAGGAGCACCUUCGUGGUGUGACUGCGUACCUUUUGUAUAAUGGGUCAGCGACUUAUAUUCAGUAGCAAGGUUAACCAUCUAGGGGAGCCGUAGAGAAAUCGAGUCUUAACUGGGCGUCGAGUUGCUGGAUAUAGACCCGAAACCAGGUGAUCUAGCCAUGGGCAGGUUGAAGGUUGAGUAACAUCAACUGGAGGACCGAACCGACUAAUGUUGAAAAAUUAGCGGAUGACUUGUGGCUAGGGGUGAAAGGCCAAUCAAACCUGGAGAUAGCUGGUUCUCCCCGAAAUCUAUUUAGGUAGAGCCUCGGACGAAUACUACUGGGGGUAGAGCACUGUUAAGGCUAGGGGGUCAUCCCGACUUACCAAACCUUUGCAAACUCCGAAUACCAGUAAGUACUAUCCGGGAGACACACGGCGGGUGCUAACGUCCGUCGUGGAGAGGGAAACAACCCAGACCGCCAGCUAAGGUCCCAAAUUACAGCUAAGUGGGAAACGAUGUGGGAAGGCUUAGACAGCUAGGAUGUUGGCUUAGAAGCAGCCAUCAUUUAAAGAAAGCGUAAUAGCUCACUAGUCGAGUCGGCCUGCGCGGAAGAUGUAACGGGGCUAAGCUGUAAACCGAAGCUGCGGCAAUGCAUUUUAUGUAUUGGGUAGGGGAGCGUUCUGUAAGCCGUUGAAGGUGAGUUGUAAAGCUUGCUGGAGGUAUCAGAAGUGCGAAUGCUGACAUGAGUAACGAUAAAGGGGGUGAAAAACCUCCUCGCCGGAAGACCAAGGGUUCCUGUCCAACGUUAAUCGGGGCAGGGUAAGUCGACCCCUAAGGCGAGGCCGAAAGGCGUAGUCGAUGGGAAACGGGUUAAUAUUCCCGUACUUCUUACAAUUGCGAUGGGGGGACGGAGAAGGCUAGGUGGGCCUGGCGACGGUUGUCCAGGUUCAAGUGCGUAGGCUUGAGAGUUAGGUAAAUCCGGCUCUCUUUAAGGCUGAGACACGACGUCGAGCUACUACGGUAGUGAAGUCAUUGAUGCCAUGCUUCCAGGAAAAGCCUCUAAGCUUCAGAUUGUAAGGAAUCGUACCCCAAACCGACACAGGUGGUCGGGUAGAGAAUACCAAGGCGCUUGAGAGAACUCGGGUGAAGGAACUAGGCAAAAUGGUACCGUAACUUCGGGAGAAGGUACGCUCCUGUCGGUGAAGUCCCUUGCGGAUGGAGCUAACGGGAGUCGCAGAUACCAGGUGGCUGCAACUGUUUAUUAAAAACACAGCACUGUGCAAAAUCGUAAGAUGACGUAUACGGUGUGACGCCUGCCCGGUGCCGGAAGGUUAAUUGAUGGGGUUAGACGUAAGUCGAAGCUCUUGAUCGAAGCCCCGGUAAACGGCGGCCGUAACUAUAACGGUCCUAAGGUAGCGAAAUUCCUUGUCGGGUAAGUUCCGACCUGCACGAAUGGCGUAAUGAUGGCCACGCUGUCUCCACCCGAGACUCAGUGAAAUUGAAAUCGCUGUGAAGAUGCAGUGUACCCGCGGCUAGACGGAAAGACCCCGUGAACCUUUACUACAGCUUGGCACUGAACAUUGACCCUACAUGUGUAGGAUAGGUGGGAGGCUUUGAAACCGGUACGCCAGUAUCGGUGGAGCCGUCCUUGAAAUACCACCCUUGUAGUGUUGAUGUUCUAACUUAGACCCGUUAUCCGGGUUGAGGACAGUGCCUGGUGGGUAGUUUGACUGGGGCGGUCUCCUCCCAAAGAGUAACGGAGGAGCACGAAGGUGGGCUAAUCACGGUUGGACAUCGUGAGGUUAGUGCAAUGGCAUAAGCCCGCUUGACUGCGAGAAUGACAAUUCGAGCAGGUGCGAAAGCAGGUCAUAGUGAUCCGGUGGUUCUGUAUGGAAGGGCCAUCGCUCAACGGAUAAAAGGUACUCCGGGGAUAACAGGCUGAUACCGCCCAAGAGUUCAUAUCGACGGCGGUGUUUGGCACCUCGAUGUCGGCUCAUCACAUCCUGGGGCUGAAGUCGGUCCCAAGGGUAUGGCUGUUCGCCAUUUAAAGUGGUACGCGAGCUGGGUUUAGAACGUCGUGAGACAGUUCGGUCCCUAUCUGCCGUGGGCGUUGGAAGAUUGAAGGGGGCUGCUCCUAGUACGAGAGGACCGGAGUGGACGAACCUCUGGUGUUCGGGUUGUCAUGCCAAUGGCAUUGCCCGGUAGCUAAGUUCGGAAUCGAUAACCGCUGAAAGCAUCUAAGCGGGAAGCGAGCCCUGAGAUGAGUCUUCCCUGACUCCUUGAGAGUCCUAAAGGGUUGU